AAGAACGACUCUCGGCAACGGAUAUCUCGGCUCUCGCAUCGAUGAAGAACGUAGCGAAAUGCGAUACUUGGUGUGAAUUGCAGAAUCCCGUGAACCAUCGAGUCUUUGAACGCAAGUUGCGCCCCAAGCCUUUGGGCCGAGGGCACGUCUGCCUGGGUGUCACGC
RNAcentral lists this ribosomal RNA (165 nucleotides) under Thymelaea virgata subsp. broussonetii. RNAcentral's name for it is "5.8S ribosomal RNA". It matches the Rfam family "5.8S ribosomal RNA". From Rfam's summary of the family: 5.8S ribosomal RNA (5.8S rRNA) is a component of the large subunit of the eukaryotic ribosome. It is transcribed by RNA polymerase I as part of the 45S precursor that also contains 18S and 28S rRNA. The record is from RNAcentral. Lineage: Eukaryota; Viridiplantae; Streptophyta; Magnoliopsida; Malvales; Thymelaeaceae.